AUUGAACGCUGGCGGCAUGCCUUACACAUGCAAGUCGAACGGUAACGCGGGGCAACCUGGCGACGAGUGGGCGAACGGGUGAGUAAUAUAUCGGAACGUGCCCAAUAGUGGGGGAUAGCCCGGCGAAAGCCGGAUUAAUACCGCAUACGACCUGAGGGUGAAAGCGGGGGAUCGCAAGACCUCGCGCUAUUGGAGCGGCCGAUAUCAGAUUAGCUAGUUGGCGGGGUAAAAGCCCACCAAGGCGACGAUCCGUAGCUGGUUUGAGAGAACGACCAGCCACACUGGGACUGAGACACGGCCCAGACUCCUACGGAGGCAGCAGUGGGGAAUUUUGGGACAAUGGGGGAAACCCUGGAUCCAGCCAUGCCGCGUGUGUGAAGAAGGCCUC
This 388-nucleotide ribosomal RNA is filed under the name uncultured bacterium. RNAcentral's name for it is "bacterial SSU rRNA". It matches the Rfam family "Bacterial small subunit ribosomal RNA", at positions 29 to 418 of the family's 1533-position model. The record is from RNAcentral.